GUACGCGCGUUGUUAGCAACUUGUACUGUGAAACUGCGAAUGGCUCAUUAAAUCAGUUAUCGUUUAUUUGAUAGUACCUUACUACAUGGAUACCUGUGGUAAUUCUAAAGCUAAUACAUGCUAAAAACCCCGACUUCAGGAAGGGGUGUAUUUAUUAGAUAAAAAACCAACGCCCUUCGGGGCUCCUUGGUGAAUCAUAAUAACUUAACGAAUCGCAUGGCCUUGCGCCGGCGAUGGUUCAUUCAAAUUUCUGCCCUAUCAACUUUCGAUGGUAGGAUAGUGGCCUACCAUGGUGGCAACGGGUAACGGGGAAUUAGGGUUCGAUUCCGGAGAGGGAGCCUGAAAAACGGCUACCACAUCCAAGGAAGGCAGCAGGCGCGCAAAUUACCCAAUCCCGAUACGGGGAGGUAGUGACAAUAAAUACUGAUACGGGGCUCUUUUGGGUCUCGUAAUUGGAAUGAGAACAAUUUAAAUCCCUUAACGAGGAACAAUUGGAGGGCAAGUCUGGUGCCAGCAGCCGCGGUAAUUCCAGCUCCAAUAGCGUAUAUUAAAGUUGUUGCAGUUAAAAAGCUCGUAGUUGAACCUUGGGUCUGGCUGGCCGGUCCGCCUCACCGCGAGUACUGGUCCGGCUGGACCUUUCCUUCUGGGAGAACCUCAUGGUCUUCACUGGGGUGUGGGGGGGAACCAGGA
RNAcentral lists this ribosomal RNA (690 nucleotides) under Colletotrichum gloeosporioides. RNAcentral's name for it is "SSU rRNA". It matches the Rfam family "Eukaryotic small subunit ribosomal RNA", at positions 63 to 982 of the family's 1831-position model. Lineage: Eukaryota; Fungi; Ascomycota; Sordariomycetes; Glomerellales; Glomerellaceae. The record is from RNAcentral.